RNAcentral lists this ribosomal RNA (264 nucleotides) under uncultured bacterium. Its description in RNAcentral is "partial 16S ribosomal RNA". It matches the Rfam family "Bacterial small subunit ribosomal RNA", at positions 793 to 1055 of the family's 1533-position model. The record is from RNAcentral.
GUCCUGGCCCUAAACGAUGAGUGCUUGGUGUGGCGGGUAUCGAUCCCCGCCGUGCCGAAGCUAACGCGUUAAGCACUCCGCCUGGGGAGUACGGUCGCAAGGCUGAAAACUCAAAGGAAUUGACGGGGGCCCGCACAAGCGGUGGAGCAUGUGGUUCAAUUCGACGCAAACGCGAAGAACCUUACCCAGGCUUGAACUGCAGUUGACCAUUCAUGAAAGUGAACUUCCGCAAGGACAACUGUAGAGGUGCUGCAUGGCUGUCGU